This 232-nucleotide ribosomal RNA is filed under the name uncultured bacterium. Its description in RNAcentral is "partial 16S ribosomal RNA". It matches the Rfam family "Bacterial small subunit ribosomal RNA", at positions 103 to 334 of the family's 1533-position model. The record is from RNAcentral.
CGGUCGCGUAACACGUGGGCAACCUGCCCUGAAGCGGGGGACAACAAUUCGAAAGAGUUGCUAAUACCGCAUGUGGAUCGUGGUGGCAUCACCGAGGAUCCAAAGCCUUCGGGCACUUCAGGAUGGGCCCGCGGCCUAUCAGCUAGUUGGGGGGGUAACGGCCCACCAAGGCUUCGACGGGUAGCUGGUCUGAGAGGACGAUCAGCCGGAUUGGGACUGAGAUACGGCCCAG